UUCGGAUUGUAGUCUGNAACCCGACUACAUGAAGCUGGAAUCGCUAGUAAUCGCGGAUCAGAAUGCCGCGGUGAAUACGUUCCCGGGUCUUGUACACACCGCCCGUCACACCAUGGGAGUCGGAAAUGCCCGAAGUCGGUGACCUAACUGAAAGGAAGGAGCCGCCGAAGGCAGGUCUGGUGAUGGGGUGAAGUCGUAACAAGGUAUC
This 208-nucleotide ribosomal RNA is filed under the name uncultured bacterium. RNAcentral describes it as "partial 16S ribosomal RNA". It matches the Rfam family "Bacterial small subunit ribosomal RNA", at positions 1292 to 1500 of the family's 1533-position model. The record is from RNAcentral.